This 252-nucleotide ribosomal RNA is filed under the name uncultured bacterium. RNAcentral's name for it is "partial 16S ribosomal RNA". It matches the Rfam family "Bacterial small subunit ribosomal RNA", at positions 524 to 775 of the family's 1533-position model. The record is from RNAcentral.
UACAGAGGGUGCGAGCGUUAAUCGGAAUUACUGGGCGUAAAGGGUGCGUAGGUGGUUAGAUAAGUUAGGUGUGAAAGUCCAGGGCUUAACCUUGGGAUUGCGCCUAAUACUGUUUAGCUAGAGUACUGUAGAGGGAGGUGGAAUUUCCGGUGUAGCGGUGAAAUGCGUAGAUAUCGGAAGGAACAUCGGUGGCGAAGGCGACUUUCUGGACAGAUACUGACACUGAGGCACGAAAGCAUGGGGAGCAAACAG